This is a long non-coding RNA of Apodemus sylvaticus (European woodmouse), 685 nucleotides long. RefSeq lists it as uncharacterized. The record is from RefSeq and is a predicted model, not a curated record. The transcript is spliced from 3 exons. Lineage: Eukaryota; Metazoa; Chordata; Mammalia; Rodentia; Muridae.
GAGCCUGCUUAGGCUGCAAGGGAAAGGGGCAGGGCUGGCUGUUCCCCAUCCCCUUCCUGUCUGGCUCUAUUUUCCAUGUCCCUGCUUACAAGGUUGGAGGUGUCUUCGUCUGCCCAGUCUCCCAUGCUUAGUAGACAGAGAUGUGCUUGCUCGAAGCUCUGGAGGCUGCAAGGCUGGGGUCAACGUUUCUGCAAGGUUCCUUUCUCCGGUGGCCUCUCGCUGUGGUGCUUUCUGAUUGCCCGUGGGAUGUGACUGGCCACUUCAUACUUGUGCUACCACAGAGGCAGGCCACCUCUGUCUCCUGCUUUCCUUCUCCUCUGUGGUGGAUUGUAUUCUCUCGACUGUGAGCCAGAAGCUGCUUUCCACAGUGGUGAAUGACGCAGGCAUUGCCAUGUGACCACGAGAUGCUAAUGACAAGCAAGGCAGACACAGACAUCCUUCUUGGGGCUUGCAGCUCAUGAGGUGUGCUGAACCAGAACCCUCCUGCUCUGUGACUUAGCAGACUGCCAUUCGAUAAGGAGGCCGUGCGCGUAUGAGUGUCGCAGAGACGGACAAGCUGGCUUGGGAACAAAACACACUUAUGUUUUAAAACUCUGUCUGGCUUUUUGGGGAGGGGGGUAGAGGGAGGAACAGAUUUGUUUGGGAGGGCCUGGAAUGUUCAGAUAAUAAAUCCCUUUAUCUCUUC